Molecule: ribosomal RNA, 500 nt
Filed under: uncultured bacterium
Lineage: Bacteria
Description: partial 16S ribosomal RNA
Rfam family: Bacterial small subunit ribosomal RNA
Source: RNAcentral
AUUGAACGCUGGCGGCAUGCCUUACACAUGCAAGUCGAACGGCAGCACGGGAGCAAUCCUGGUGGCGAGUGGCGAACGGGUGAGUAAUGUAUCGGAACGUGCCCAGUCGUGGGGGAUAACGUAGCGAAAGCUACGCUAAUACCGCAUACGAUCUAGGGAUGAAAGCGGGGGAUCGCAAGACAUCGCGCGAUUGGAGCGGCCGAGAUCAGAUUAGAUAGUUGGUGGGGUAAAGGCUCACCAAGCCGACGAUCUGUAGCUGGUCUGAGAGGACGACCAGCCACACUGGGACUGAGACACGGCCCAGACUCCUACGGGAGGCAGCAGUGGGGAAUUUUGGACAAUGGGCGCAAGCCUGAUCCAGCAAUGCCGCGUGCAGGAUGAAGGCCUUCGGGUUGUAAACUGCUUUUGUACGGAACGAAACGGCGAGCUCUAAUACAGUUUGCUAAUGACGGUACCGUAAGAAUAAGCACCGGCUAACUACGUGCCAGCAGCCGCCGUAA